RNAcentral lists this ribosomal RNA (420 nucleotides) under Fusobacteriota bacterium. Its description in RNAcentral is "Fusobacteria bacterium partial 16S ribosomal RNA". It matches the Rfam family "Bacterial small subunit ribosomal RNA", at positions 355 to 776 of the family's 1533-position model. Lineage: Bacteria; Fusobacteriati; Fusobacteriota. The record is from RNAcentral.
UGGGGGAUAUUGCACAAUGGGCGAAAGCCUGAUGAAGCGACGCCGCGUGGGGGAUGAAGGCCUUCGGGUUGUAAACUUCUUUUGCUCUGAACAAGGCAUGCCUUUGGGGUGUGUUGAGUGUAGGGGUUGAUUAGCGCCGGCUAACUACGUGCCAGCAGCCGCGGUAAUACGUAGGGCGCGAGCGUUGUCCGGAAUUAUUGGGCGUAAAGGGCUUGUAGGUGGCUGGUUGCGUCUGUCGUGAAAGCUCAUGGCUUAACUGUGGGUUUGCGGUGGGUACGGGCUGGCUUGAGUGCAGUAGGUGAGGCUGGAAUUCCUGGUGUAGCGGUGGAAUGCGCAGAUAUCAGGAGGAAUACCGGUGGCGAAGGCGGGUCUCUGGGCUGUUACUGACGCUGAGGAGCGAAAGCGUGGGGAGCGAACAGG